GACGAACGCUGGCGGCGUGCUUAACACAUGCAAGUCGAACGGAAAGGCCCUUCGGGGUACUCGAGUGGCGAACGGGUGAGUAACACGUGGGUGAUCUGCCCUGCACUCUGGGAUAAGCCUGGGAAACUGGGUCUAAUACCGGAUAUGAUCAUGCGCCUCAUGGUGUGUGGUGGAAAGCUUUUGCGGUGUGGGAUGGGCCCGCGGCCUAUCAGCUUGUUGGUGGGGUAAUGGCCUACCAAGGCGACGACGGGUAGCCGGCCUGAGAGGGUGACCGGCCACACUGGGACUGAGAUACGGCCCAGACUCCUACGGGAGGCAGCAGUGGGGAAUAUUGCACAAUGGGCGCAAGCCUGAUGCAGCGACGCCGCGUGGGGGAUGACGGCCUCGGUUGUAACCGUACUUCUAGUACGACGAAGCGUAAGUAGACGGUAGGUACGAGAAGAAG
Molecule: ribosomal RNA, 445 nt
Filed under: uncultured bacterium
Lineage: Bacteria
Description: bacterial SSU rRNA
Rfam family: Bacterial small subunit ribosomal RNA
Source: RNAcentral